This 699-nucleotide ribosomal RNA is filed under the name Bacillus sp. Bac18D1. RNAcentral's name for it is "bacterial SSU rRNA". It matches the Rfam family "Bacterial small subunit ribosomal RNA", at positions 36 to 720 of the family's 1533-position model. The record is from RNAcentral. Lineage: Bacteria; Bacillati; Bacillota; Bacilli; Caryophanales; Bacillaceae.
CUGGCGGCGUGCCUAAUCAUGCACCCGAGCGAAUGGAAUUAAGAGCUUGCUCUUAUGAAGUUAGCGGCGGACGGGUGAGUAACACGUGGGUAACCUGCCCAUAAGACUGGGAUAACUCCGGGAAACCGGGGCUAAUACCGGAUAACAUUUUGAACCGCAUGGUUCGAAAUUGAAAGGCGGCUUCGGCUGUCACUUAUGGAUGGACCCGCGUCGCAUUAGCUAGUUGGUGAGGUAACGGCUCACCAAGGCAACGAUGCGUAGCCGACCUGAGAGGGUGAUCGGCCACACUGGGACUGAGACACGGCCCAGACUCCUACGGGAGGCAGCAGUAGGGAAUCUUCCGCAAUGGACGAAAGUCUGACGGAGCAACGCCGCGUGAGUGAUGAAGGCUUUCGGGUCGUAAAACUCUGUUGUUAGGGAAGAACAAGUGCUAGUUGAAUAAGCUGGCACCUUGACGGUACCUAACCAGAAAGCCACGGCUAACUACUGCCAGCAGCCGCGGUAAUACGUAGGUGGCAAGCGUUAUCCGGAAUUAUUGGGCGUAAGCGCGCGCAGGUGGUUUCUUAAGUCUGAUGUGAAACCCCGGCCUCCACCGUGGAGGGUCUUGAAAACUGGGAAAACUUGACUGCAAGAGAGAAAGUGAAUUCCAUGUUGUCCCGCUAAAAUGCCUAGGAAAUAUGGAGGAACCCCAUGGCCAAG